UACGUAGGGUGCAAGCGUUAAUCGGAAUUACUGGGCGUAAAGCGUGCGCAGGCGGUGAUGUAAGACAGGUGUGAAAUCCCCGGGCUUAACCCUGGGAACUGCAUUUGUGACUGCAUCGCUGGAGUGCGGCAGAGGGGGAUGGAAUUCCGGCGUGUAGCAGUGAAAUGCGUAGAUAAUGCGGAGGAACACCGAUGGCGAAGGCAAUCCCCUGGGCCUGG
RNAcentral lists this ribosomal RNA (218 nucleotides) under uncultured bacterium. Its description in RNAcentral is "partial 16S ribosomal RNA". It matches the Rfam family "Bacterial small subunit ribosomal RNA", at positions 524 to 738 of the family's 1533-position model. The record is from RNAcentral.